AUUGAACGCUGGCGGCAUGCCUUACACAUGCAAGUCGAACGGCAGCACGGGAGCAAUCCUGGUGGCGAGUGGCGAACGGGUGAGUAAUAUAUCGGAACGUGCCCAGUCGUGGGGGAUAACGUAGCGAAAGCUACGCUAAUACCGCAUACGAUCUAUGGAUGAAAGCGGGGGAUCGCAAGACCUCGCGCGAUUGGAGCGGCCGAUAUCAGAUUAGGUAGUUGGUGAGGUAAAGGCUCACCAAGCCGACGAUCUGUAGCUGGUCUGAGAGGACGACCAGCCACACUGGGACUGAAACACGGCCCAGACUCCUACGGGAGGCAGCAGUGAGGAAUAUUGGACAAUGGGCGCAAGCCUGAUCCAGCCAUGCCGCGUGCAGGAAGAAGCAUCUAUGGUGUGUAAACUGCUUUUGUACGGGAAGAAACACUCCUACGUGUAGGAGCUUGACGGUACCGUAAGAAUAAGGAA
RNAcentral lists this ribosomal RNA (465 nucleotides) under uncultured bacterium. Its description in RNAcentral is "bacterial SSU rRNA". It matches the Rfam family "Bacterial small subunit ribosomal RNA", at positions 30 to 493 of the family's 1533-position model. The record is from RNAcentral.